Molecule: non-coding RNA, 45 nt
Organism: Schistosoma haematobium
Lineage: Eukaryota; Metazoa; Platyhelminthes; Trematoda; Strigeidida; Schistosomatidae
Source: Rfam
AUUCGGCUGACGAGUCCGAAAUAGGACGAAACGCGCAUCCUGGAU